UCCCUCUUAGCUCAGUGGUAGAGCGCGCCACUCGUAUGCCAGUCAUCCGUGAGUGCGAUGGUGAGGUCAGUCGUUCAAUCCGGCUAGCGGGAA
Non-coding RNA from Hymenopellis radicata, 93 nucleotides. The record is from the annotation of a GenBank genome assembly. NCBI's taxonomy places the organism in Eukaryota, Fungi, Basidiomycota, Agaricomycetes, Agaricales, Physalacriaceae.